CCUACGGGUGGCACCAGUGGGGAAUAUUGCACAAUGGGCGCAAGCCUGAUGCAGCCAUGCCGCGUGUAUGAAGAAGGCCUUCGGGUUGUAAAGUACUUUCAGCGGGGAGGAAGGUGUUGUGGUUGAUAACCACAGCAAUUGACGUUACCCGCAGAAGAAGCACCGGCUAACUCCGUGCCAGCAGCCGCGGUAAUACGGAGGGUGCAAGCGUUAAUCGGAAAUACUGGGCGUAAAGCGCACGCAGGCGGUCUGGCAAGUCGGAUGUGAAAUCCCCGGGCUCAACCUGGGAACUGCAUUCGAAACUGGCAGGCUAGAGUCUUGUAGAGGGGGGUAGAAUUCCGGGUGUAGCGGUGAAAUGCGUAGAGAUCUGGAGGAAUACCGGCGGCGAAGGCGGCCCCCUGGACAAAGACCGACGCUCAGGUGCGAAAGCGUGGGGAGCAAACAGGAUUAGAUACCCGCGUAGUC
Molecule: ribosomal RNA, 465 nt
Filed under: uncultured bacterium
Lineage: Bacteria
Description: bacterial SSU rRNA
Rfam family: Bacterial small subunit ribosomal RNA
Source: RNAcentral